This 774-nucleotide ribosomal RNA is filed under the name uncultured Neocallimastigales. Its description in RNAcentral is "partial large subunit ribosomal RNA". It matches the Rfam family "Eukaryotic large subunit ribosomal RNA", at positions 24 to 635 of the family's 3401-position model. The record is from RNAcentral. Lineage: Eukaryota; Fungi; Neocallimastigomycota; Neocallimastigomycetes; Neocallimastigales.
UAUGUGAUCGUCUCUCGCAUAUCAAUAAGCGGAGGAAAAGAAACUAACAAGGAUCCCCUAGUAACGGCGAGUGAAGCGGGAAGAGCUCAAAUUUGAAAUCUUAAAGGGUUUCCCUUUACGAAUUGUAGUUUAAAGAAGUGUUUUCUGUUGAGGUUUUGGUAAAAGUUCUUUGGAAUAGGACAUCAUAGAGGGUGAGAAUCCCGUAUUUGACCUUUACUUUCAACUUUGUGAUACACUUUCAAAGAGUCGGAUUGUUUGGGAAUGCAGUCCAAAAUGGGUGGUAAAUUUCAUCUAAAGCUAAAUAUUGGCGAGAGACCGAUAGCGAACAAGUACCGUGAGGGAAAGAUGAAAAGAACUUUGAAAAGAGAGUUAAACAGUACGUGAAAUUGUCAAAAGGGAAGCGUUUGACACCAGUGUUGUUUUUCUGAAAAUCAAUUAAAGAACUGUUUAUGCUAAGCUGUUUAGACUUUAUCAGCUAAUCUGUUUAGUUUUGAGCUUUUCUUUAAUGCACUUUUCAGUUAACAAGUCAACAUCAAUUUCUUUUGCUGUAAAAAAGCUUGAGGAAGGUGGCUUGAGAUUCGUCUUAAGUGUUUAUAGCCUCUUGCCUAUGCAGUCGGAGAGAUUGAGGUCUGCAGCGUAGAUCCUUCGGGGCUAAAUGCAUUUGUGCUAAGUUAUAGCAUUUUAUAGACAACUUGUUGACUAUGAUUUGUCUUGUAGCUUACUCGCUUAUGUUAUUUUACCUACGCUUAGGAUGUUGAUCUACAGAGCGAGAGU